GUGGAAAGGUGCAUGGUGGAAUAUGCUAUAGAGCCACAUGGGCAUGUUAUAAUUGUGGCGACACUGGUCAUUUUGCUAAAGAUUGUACAAGUGCAUGCCGUUCUGGACCACCUACUACUCCAGAGGGAUCAGCCCAAGGUUCUACCCCCAAAAGUUCACCAUCAGUUAGCAGAGGCCGGGACAGAGGUAGGGUUAGUACAUCUGGUAGCCAAGGUACUGUGAACCAGCCAGAGCAGGGUGGUACACCAUAAGACAGAGG
Molecule: unclassified non-coding RNA, 259 nt
Filed under: Hevea brasiliensis (rubber tree)
Lineage: Eukaryota; Viridiplantae; Streptophyta; Magnoliopsida; Malpighiales; Euphorbiaceae
Source: RNAcentral